Molecule: long non-coding RNA, 1187 nt
Organism: Bos taurus (domestic cattle)
Lineage: Eukaryota; Metazoa; Chordata; Mammalia; Artiodactyla; Bovidae
Source: Ensembl
CGCGGAAGGCGGGGGUGCUGGGGGCUGGGCCGGGGGCCAACCAACGCGAAAACCCGCCCCGGAGGGUGAGGACCAAGCAGACCUGGACCCCGAAAGGAAGAACCCUGACCCCAGCUGUCCCUUUGGCCGAGCGUCUGGGGGCACACAGGGACACAGAGUUGAUGUGAGAGGAAAGCUAAGGACCUCGCGAGUGAUGGAAGCCCAAGACGGAAUUUACCAAGAGACUGUCUUGUCAUUCAGAACCCAGGCGUGAUGAUAAUUCUAAGAGUCUGAUUUCUUAAAAGGUCAUAGCGAGACCUACCUUUUUCCAGUGUGAUAAGAUUUAUCAUCAUUAAAGGCAAAAUGUGGAAGCAUACAAUACCUUGUUACGACAGAGAAAAUGACCUGAGGUAGAUGCUGAUUCCAAAGAUGGUCACAACGGUGUCUCCACCAUGAAGUCUAUUUUUUCUUCUGUUUGAAUUGGGGCUGGCCCUGUGACUGCUUUGACCUAUAGAAUGUGGCAAAAAUAGUGUUGGAGGUCUUCCAAGACCAGACGUUAAGCAAGCCUGAUGGCUUCUGCUUUGCAUUCUGGGGAACACCAGCCACCACUUAAGGAGAACCCACCAUGCUGUGAGGAAGUCUAAGCUAUGUGGAGGGGCCACCUGGAAAGACAGAGAUGACUGACUGGCCCCUAGUUGUUCAACCUGUCUCGGCUGAGGUACCAGACUUGUGAGUGAAAAACUGCUGUAGGAAGGUCCAAGGCCAGCAGACACCACAUGGAAUGAAGAUGAGCCAUCCUCACUGAGCCCUGCCGAAACUAUAGAAUCAUGAGCAAAUAAAUGAUUGAUGUUCUAAGGCACUAAAUUUGGGGUAGUUUUAAAAGCAGCAAUAGAUAACCAAGACAAAGCUAAACAAGAGAAAGUCCCCUAGCAUACAGAUCAACCUUCUGUAGACUCCACAAGGCAGAGUUUGGGGGAUAAUUCUUUUUUUUUUUUUUUUAAUCUUAUCUCAGGAGUCAUUUGCUUUCUGUUUACUCUCUUGCUGAUUUAUAAUUGUCCCACCUGGUGCUUGUUUAUCCCAGUGUUAUACCAAGGGUGGGAGAAGGAAACAUAGGAGAAGUCUGCCCCAAUGAGGGAGGAAUAUUUUAUCACUGUACCUUGUUUGGAACUGUUAGAGCAUGAAAAUAAUAAAAAGCAAACAGAAUUUUC